UACAGAGAUCAGGAGAGGUUCUAAUUACAUCAAAUAUGAGGGGCUCAGGCAGCUGGGGUGGAGAAGAUACACAGACAUGGGACAACAGAGGCAACCAAGCCACCUCACAGCCCUGCCUGCCUCUGAGGCUGUCAUCAUCUCCGGUUAAUGAAUAAAGAGAUAGAGGAAGACACUGGAGUCUCUGAGGGACAGUAGCUAGAUAACAAAUGAAGAAAGGAAGGACAAAUCAUACCAAAUACUUUUUCUUUGCACUAUAUUAAAUAUGUCAGGUUUAUUUCCCCUGAAACCGUUUAUGAGGGGGAAUUCCCAUUAAUGCAAUUAUGUGUGAAAGAAUGUCGUUCGUGUGUAAAUGAAUGGCUUACUGGUUCACAGAUUGCCCAGUAAUUAAGGGAACCAGCAGGCUUAUUUGUUAUGAGAUCUAAUUAACUUUAAUAAAUUAUAAAUGUAAUCACCAUGCAGGGGAGAGGAAUUCAAUGCCGUACAUAGCAUUCUGUAUAGCCUCUUUCUGGAUGUUCAACAUGGUGAUCAUAAUAAUAGGACCCUGUGCUCCUAGGAAUCUGCUCUUUUGUUACAGCCUUGGCCAGUAUCUACCAUAGCUAUACAAUCAUAGUUGUUUUACUAACAGAAGAUAACUCCAUAAUUGACUUUACUUUGCCUUCCUAGAAGUUACCUCAGCUUCUAAAUUAGCGGGGGAUAACCAGACACAAAUAAAGAUGUGAACUUUUGUUCACAUGACUUUUUUGCCACAAAUUAUAUUUCUCCAGUCACUUUUGGGGAUAGAAAGAGAUUAAUAGACGGAAUAAUUAAAAAUUUUUAAUAACUCAAAAUAUUUUAACAGAUCAUAAGUAUAUGCUGUUAAACCGGGAUCUUGUAAUUGCUUUCAUAUGACUUUUUCCAGGCUUAUUUUAUUGUUUUAAUCAUGAAUGCAUGCUGUGCCUGUGUGUAGUAUGUGCUCAUGAGUGCAUGUGUCUGUAGAGCUGAGUCACAGGCAGGUAGGAGUCACCUGAUGUGUAUGCUGAGAACUAAACCUGAGCCAAUCCCUCCAGCCUUUGUUGAAAUGGCCUUGAAGUUUAACAUCUUAAUGUUUUAAUUUUUUUUUCUUUGAUUAUGAAGCUAAACAUUUUAUUAUUGUUAACCAAGUUUUUUUUUGUUUUAUGUGGGUUUGUUUUGUUUUGUUUUGAGACUAGGUCUGUAUUUCUGGCGUGUCUGGGACUUACUAUGUAGACAAGGCUGGUCUUGAACUCACAGAGAUCUUUCUGUCUCUGCCUCCUAAGUGCUGACAUAUACACAAUAUCUAGCCUUAGGUAUACCAAGUUAAUUUCACUUUUUAAAUAUACCUUUACAUAUUUAAAUUAACAAAUUAACAUUAGGCAUCUAACGUGUUAGAUAUAUUGAAUUUCUGACGUUGUUAGGAGCCGUUGCCUAGAACCAGAGUGGUUUUAGAUUAAGUAGACCCCCAUAGACCUUAGAGGAGAGAAAUAUUCCAUCUCUGUGUUCCAUUGACCUGACCUCCUGGCUGAACAUUCACACAAAAGCCAAGGAAAGCUUUGACAUUCCAGACUCUGUCUUUUCUUAAAGGUGGGAAAGUUGGAAGCGGGAGCCAUUGAUUCGGUCUGUUACUGAAUGUACACUAGGCCCUGUCAAGUUUCAAGCUACCAUUUCUUAGUUCCAUAUAUUCAUAAAUCUAUUCAUACUUUAAAACAUUUAAAUGAAUAUUCUAGAUGUUGUUAUUUAGCACAGUGUUUUUGUGCCCGUAAUUACAGGGCCUUACCCAUGGUCUGGUGUACCUCACUUAGUUUUAAUGCUCUCCCUAUCCUGACUUUGGUAAGAGAUCAGCCACAAAUACAAGCCUGCUUGAGGUUUCCUGGAUGAUUCCAGGCCAAGGUGGUUGCCUAGGAAACCCUGACGCUGCUUCCCAUUACUGUAUUAUUCUCCUUCUCUUAUUGGGUUUUUGAGGGGCAAAGGGAUUGGAAACGGUUUAACUCUGUAGCAUAUGUUGAUCCAGAAGUUACUGUGUAUCCCAGGCUGGCCUCAAACUCAUCAAGAUCCUUCUGAACUCUUUUCACUCAAUGAUCCAAUGCCCCCAGGCUGCCUCUGGUUGUCUGACAUCCCUCAUGUAACUCUACCGAAGCCUGUUCAUGUCCAGAAUAACCUAUGUCCACCUCCUUGGGCUGACAGGAGCUCUAUAUCUGUUCUCUCAGAGCAAAGCAAUCUGAUCUUAGAUAGUCUCCCAGGGAGAAGGGUUGCUACUUGAGAUGUCAGUCAUCCUGCUACCCUGGAUGAGUGCACAACUGAAGUUGACUUCGUAAGAGUCAACUCAUAAUGAAACAAUGCAGAUUUCACAAUCCACAACUGGUAUCAU
This 2362-nucleotide long non-coding RNA is filed under the name Mus musculus (house mouse). RNAcentral's name for it is "long non-coding RNA chr8:83224831-83227193". The record is from RNAcentral. Lineage: Eukaryota; Metazoa; Chordata; Mammalia; Rodentia; Muridae.